GAUAAAUUGUAUGAAUAAUAAGAGUAGCUUGUGUGAUUUAUCAAGAACAAAGAGAAGAGAGAACUAGGGUUUACUAAGGAUCCGAGAGAGAGAGAGAGAUAAAGGAGAGAGAGAGGUGAUUUCGAAAAUGUGAGAGAGAAUAAUGAGGAAGUAUAUUUCCUUACUUCAUUUGGUACAUGAUACAUGAGUAUAUAAAGAGAGACAAAGAAGCUAUUGCAUCUAGGGAAAAUAUUAAACAAAGAAUCCCAUAGAACUAAUAAACUAAUCUACUCUUGGACUGGUAUGCACAGAUUGCUCAGCCUGAUAAUGACAGGUCCUAACGGAUGGAAGGGACUUUGAAUCCUUAACCAGACCCGUGACAUUGCUUCCCAAUGUCUCUCCACUUCCCAUUGGCGACCAAAGAUAUUCUUCUUGCCAUCUCUCUUCAUUUCAUCAGUUCCCUUUGCAUAUCUUGCACACCAAGGUAGGGUAGAUUGUACGGACAGUCUUGCAUUGCAAGGUAAGGAGAUUCUUUGCUUAAUCGGAUCACACUGAUGAUCCUCUUGCUCCUUACUGCCUUCUCUCAAUAUACUCAACUCUUAUUGCUUCAUGUCAACACUCCCCCUCAAGCUUGACCAUGGAACAGGUCAAGCUUGUACACCAUGAAGCAUUCCCUCAUUAAAACCUUUAGCUUGAGAAAAACCACAUGGGAGAAAACCCAAGCCAAGGAAAAAGAGUAGAACACUCCACGGUUGAGAGUGUUAGUGGCAAGAGAGGUCUAUGAGUCCAAGUUUAGGAUGGAUGAACUCACAAACCUUGCUACUGGCUGCCUUGGUGAAUAUGUCAGCUAGUUGAUCUUCACUUCUUGUGUAACAUGGAAGAAUCACUUGCUGCUCUACUGCUUGUCUCACCUUGUGACAGUCCACUUCUAUAUGCUUAGUCCUCUCAUGGAACACAGAGUUUGAUGCAAUGUGUAUUGCUGCCUGAUUGUCACAAUGCAUAGUCAUUGGCGUGGAGAUCUCUAUGCCCAAGUCCUUUAGCAAACCCUUGAUCCAUAUGAGUUCACUAGUAAGCUUCCUCAUAGAUCGGUAUUCUGCCUCAGCACUUGAGCAAGAGACCACCUUCUGCUUCUUGCUCUUCCAUGUGACUAGGUUUCCUCCAAUAAAGGUACAAUAGCCUGUGGUUGAUCUCCUAUCAACUCUAUCUCCAGCCCAAUCAGCAUCACAAUACCCAACAACUUCAGUACUCUUGUUGCAAGCCAUCCAAACUCCCUGACCUGGGGCUUCUCUUAAGUAUCUCAAGAUCCUUUCCACCAUGUUCCAAUGAUGUACCUUAGGAGCUUGCAUGUGUUGACUCACUUGGUUCACAGCAAAACACACAUCCGGCCUGGUGAUAGUGAGAUAGAUGAGCUUCCCAACCAUUCUUCUAUACCUCUUGACAUCCUCAAAGGGAGUUGCAUCAAACUCCCCCUCACGCAUAACCUUGUAGCCUUCUUCCAGUGGUGUCUUGGCCAAUCUUCCUCCAAGGUCUCCUGCCUCCUUUAGGAUGUCCAAAGUAUACUUCCUUUGGGACAUAAACAAUCCCUCCUUUGAUCUGCACAUCUCAAUGCCAAGGAAAUAUUUCAGUUCUCCUAGAUCUUUGAUGUCAAAUGCGGCCUUGAGGAAUGUCUUAGUUGAGCUGAUCCCUUCCUUGUUACUACCAGUGAUGAUGAUAUCAUCUACAUAGACCAGGAUUACAACAAUUCCUUCCUGGCUGGUGAGAGUGAACAGUGUGUGAUCCGCUUGAGACUUCACAAAGCCUCUUCCAUUCAGUGUGGUGCUUAGCUUGUGGUACCAAGCUCUUGGUGAUUGCUUCAAGCCAUAAAUAGCCUUCCUGAGUCUGAGGACAUUCCCUGGUUUUACCAUCUCUUCCAUUCCGGGAGGUGGCCUCAUAUAUACUUCAUCUUCUAAUUCACCUUGCAAGAAUGCAUUCUUCACAUCCAUUUGCCAAAGAUCCCAUUCUAGGUUCACUGCCAAUGAGAGUAGGAUCCGGAUUGUAUGGAGCUUGGCCACUGGUGCAAAAGUGUCUAGGUAGUCUUCUCCAUAUACUUGUGUGUACCCUCUUGCCACCAGUCUGGUCUUUUUCCUUUCUGGCUUCCCAUUUGCAAGGUACUUGAUGGUGUGUAUGAGUCUGCUAGUCACAGCUUUCUUCCCUUUUGGAAGCUCUGUCUCAUACCAGGUGUUGUUCCUUUCCAUGGCCCCCAUUUCAUCAUCCACUGAGUUCCUCCAUUCAUCAUCCUCCAUAGCUUCUGCAUACGUUUUUGGUAUCCAUUCCUGGUCCAAUGAGCUCACAAAGGCUUGAUGUUCUUCUGGAUACUGAGCAAGGGUGCAUACUCCACUCACUGGAUGUGCCACGGCUUGAGCAUUGUAGUAGAUCCUUGUCUUAACCCAAUCUGAAGCCGGUCUCCUGAUCCUUGUACUUCUUCUUAGAGCUGGUGUCUGCUCAAGUUCACUAUCUUGAGCUUCAGUUUCUGGUUGCUCCAUCUCAUCUUGAUCAUGAGACAAUACUGAGUUUUCUUCAUGUUGAGCUUGUGCAGGUUGUUCUCCAUUGCCCCCCUCAUGAUCAUGAUGAGAGACUUCAUUGUCGCGUACCUCAGCUCCAUCAGGCUGAGGAGUGGUGUCCCGGCCCUUCUCUGGUUCCCUUGGUAAGUUGAUGCCAAGUCUUUCCAUAAGAACUUUCAGAUUGUUAGCUCUGUCCGAGGCAGAAUGAGAUAGAUCUUUGAGUUCUCCCCAACUCUUCUCAUCAUAGUAGGCCUUGGAUUCCAUAAACUUAACAUCUCUGGAUACUAGGACUCUCCUUGUCUCUGGUACAUAGCAUUUGUACCCUUUCUGAUGUGUAGAGUACCCAAUGAACAUGGCCUUUGUGCUCUUUGCUUCUAGCUUGUUCCUUAGUUCUCCUGGAAUCAAAACAAAACACACACACCCAAACACACGCAAAUGGUCAAUGGAUGAUCUAGAUUUGUUUAGUACCUCAUAGGGAGUGGCAUCAAGGAGGACUCUUGUAGGUGUGCGGUUGAUUAGAUAGGUGGCCGUGACCACGGCAUCUCCCCAAAAACGCUUAGGUACAUUGGCAUGGAACAUCAUACUCCUCGCCACUUCCAUCAAGUGUCUAUUCUUUCUCUCAGCCACUCCAUUUUGUUGAGGUGUAUAAGGACAGCUAGUUUGUUGAAUGAUUCCAUGUGAGGCUAGGUGUUGUUUGAAGGCUGUGCUAGUAUACUCACCACCAUUAUCUGAUCUAAGAAUUUUGAUCUUAACAUUGAAAUGGUUAGUAAUAUAGCUUUGAAAGUUUUUAAAAGCUUCUAGCACUCUAUCCUUAGAUUGCAACAAAGUGAUCCAUGUGUAUUUAGAUUUUUCAUCAAUGAAUGUCACAAAAUAUUUAUGGUGCUCUCUAGAUGCACAUGGGGCAGUCCAUACGUCAGAAUGGAUGAGAUCAAAGCAAUUAUCAUAUUGAGUUUUUGAUUUAGGAAACACAGUUCUACAAUGUUUUCCUAAGAUACAAGCCUCACAAUCACUUUUAAAAGAAAUGCUAGGCAACAGGAUGUUCAAGGCAUGAGAAUGAGGAUGUCCUAGUCUAGCAUGCCAUAUUACAUCUUUAGGGAAUUCAGAAACAGAAUGAAAGGCAGGAAAUAAAUCAGUUGCAGGUCUUGUGUCCUCAAGCAAGUACAAGUCUCCCUUGGUAACACCUUUGCCAAGCAACUUACUAGAAUCAAUAUCCUGAAAGUACACACUGUUAGGCGUGAAUGUAACUUGACAAUUGAGAUCAUUAGUUACUUUCUUAACAGACAAUAGGUUUGAAGCAAAGGUGGGCAUAUAGAAAGCCUUAGUUUCUUUAUCAAACAGUCUAAGAUUACCUACACCUUUUAUUGGGAUUUUAUCUCCAUUUGCUAUCAUCACAUUUCCUAAGGCUGGUUCUAUGUUUUUAAUCAGUUCUAAAUCACUUAUCAUGUGAUGGGAAGCACCAGAGUCUAUAACUAAGGGCUUAGCCGAUUUAAAAUCUUUCAUAGGUCCAUCAGCAGUAUGUGAAGCAUUAAGAGAGACACCAAGGGUUUUAGAUAUACCAGAUUCCUUUAGAGCCUUGAUGAGAGCUGUUAAGUCAGACUUCUUGAUGGUCUCAUCCAGGUUGGCUCUUGGCGUGGCAUAGCCUGAUGUGGAGGCAGUGGCACUUCCCACACCUAGGUUGCUUAUACCCAUGGUGAUUGGAGUUGUUGGCUCAGCACCAUCAGCUGAGAAGUUGGCCCUUGCAUCUUGGUAUUGAGAGCGAGUCUCCCUGAACUUGUUGGGCUUAAGGUGGGGAUGGAGUAUCCAGCAUUUGUCCUUCAAGUGACCCUUCUUCUUGCAGUGGUCACAGGUCAGGCCUUUCCUCUCAUCUUGUUUGUAAGCUGCCUUGUUUGCCACUGCUUGUUCUGCUUGAUGCGCCAUGCUUAAGUCUCCCUUUCCACCAAACAAGCCCACUGAGCCUUCUUCCUUCUGGAUUUGAGCACACACUUCAUCCAGGUCAGGUAGUUUGUCAGCUCUUAGGAUGUGCUUGAUCAAGCUCCCAUAAGAUGGGUUAAGAGUGAGCAGCAGUCCAAACACUCUGUCCUCUUCACGCCUGGUUAGGAGAGUGGCAUGGUCAGUGGUGUGUGGUCUUAGCAGCUCCAUCUCUGCCCAAAGAGACCUGAACUUGCCAAAGUGUGGUUGAAACUCCACAUCCCCUUGGUUGAGUGCAUUGAUGGCUCUCUUCACUUCAAAGACUCUUGUGAGGUUGGAGACGUUUCCAUACACUUUGUAAAGUGUAUCCCACAGCUGUUUGGUAGUCUCACAGUAAGAGUAAGACUCCAUGAUGGCGGGUUCAAGAGAGCUGAGGAGCACUGUGAGAACCAUGAGAUCUUCCUGUGCCCACUUGUCUUCAUCAGCUACCACCAUCUCCUGUCCAUCUUCUCCUUGGGUGGUUUGCUUUGGAGCCGCUUCUGUUGAGACAUGACUCCACAAACCCUUUCCUCCAAGGGCAAUCUUCACCAUCCUGGCCCAUAAGAGGUAGUUAAUCCCCUUCAGAGUCACAGGUAUGCUAAUGCGGUUGUUGUUGUUGUUGUUGCUGUUCUCCAUCUUGAGGAUUCAAAGGUAGGAUCUUGGUGAAGAACAACGAGAAAAGAAACAGAGAUUUGUUUUGCGGAAGUAGAUAAAGGGUUCAAGAGCUUUGUUGCUCUGAUACCAUGAUAAAUUGUAUGAAUAAUAAGAGUAGCUUGUGUGAUUUAUCAAGAACAAAGAGAAGAGAGAACUAGGGUUUACUAAGGAUCCGAGAGAGAGAGAGAGAUAAAGGAGAGAGAGAGGUGAUUUCGAAAAUGUGAGAGAGAAUAAUGAGGAAGUAUAUUUCCUUACUUCAUUUGGUACAUGAUACAUGAGUAUAUAAAGAGAGACAAAGAAGCUAUUGCAUCUAGGGAAAAUAUUAAACAAAGAAUCCCAUAGAACUAAUAAACUAAUCUACUCUUGGACUGGUAUGCACAGAUUGCUCAGCCUGAUAAUGACAGGUCCUAACGGAUGGAAGGGACUUUGAAUCCUUAACCAGACCCGUGACAUUGCUUCCCAAUGUCUCUCCACUUCCCAUUGGCGACCAAAGAUAUUCUUCUUGCCAUCUCUCUUCAUUUCAUCAGUUCCCUUUGCAUAUCUUGCACACCAAGGUAGGGUAGAUUGUACGGACAGUCUUGCAUUGCAAGGUAAGGAGAUUCUUUGCUUAAUCGGAUCACACUGAUGAUCCUCUUGCUCCUUACUGCCUUCUCUCAAUAUACUCAACUCUUAUUGCUUCAUGUCAACAGUUUGAAUCAAGCAUCUUUGACUACACAUGCCUCUUAUCCUAGCUAGACUGAACCUGGACGAAAUUAUGUAUCCCUAAUCUAUAUGUGUUGUAAACUCUCUCAUUAAUCAAUCUAAUGGAGUUUUGAGCCUCUCUCUCUAUUCUCUCACUAAAAUCUCUUAAUCUCUUUAAUCUUCUCAUCUGAUUAUCCCUGAUUAGUUGAAUCAUGCUCUAAUACACAAAAGUGUAUAUGGUAUCAGAGCCAGGUUGCGCAAAGUGGGAGAGUGUGAUUCCUUUUUCUUAAAAAUCUUGAGUGUUCUUGAGUGUUCUUGGUGUUCUUAACUUCUGGGUUUCAUUAUCUUGGUG
Molecule: long non-coding RNA, 6153 nt
Filed under: Brassica napus (rape)
Lineage: Eukaryota; Viridiplantae; Streptophyta; Magnoliopsida; Brassicales; Brassicaceae
Description: long non-coding RNA (BNAP_LNC008738)
Source: RNAcentral